ACGAACGCUGGCGGCGUGCUUAACACAUGCAAGUCGAACGGAAAGGCCCUGCUUUUGUGGGGUGCUCGAGUGGCGAACGGGUGAGUAACACGUGAGUAACCUGCCCUUGACUUUGGGAUAACUUCAGGAAACUGGGGCUAAUACCGGAUAGGAGCUCCUGCUGCAUGGUGGGGGUUGGAAAGUUUCGGCGGUUGGGGAUGGACUCGCGGCUUAUCAGCUUGUUGAUGGGGUAGUGGCUUACCAAGGCUUUGACGGGUAGCCGGCCUGAGAGGGUGACCGGCCACAUUGGGACUGAGAUACGGCCCAGACUCCUACGGGAGGCAGCAGUGGGGAAUAUUGCACAAUGGGCGGAAGCCUGAUGCAGCAACGCCGCGUGCGGGAUGACGGCCUUCGGGUUGUAAACCGCUUUCGCCUGUGACGAAGCGUGAGUGACGGUAAUGGGUAAAGAAGCACCGGCUAACUACGU
Molecule: ribosomal RNA, 466 nt
Filed under: uncultured bacterium
Lineage: Bacteria
Description: partial 16S ribosomal RNA
Rfam family: Bacterial small subunit ribosomal RNA
Source: RNAcentral